Ribosomal RNA from Terrisporobacter sp., 117 nucleotides. Lineage: Bacteria; Bacillati; Bacillota; Clostridia; Peptostreptococcales; Peptostreptococcaceae. The record is from Rfam.
UUUGGUUAUUAUAGCAAAGAGGAUACACCUGUUCCCAUUCCGAACACAGAAGUUAAGCUCUUGAGCGCUGAUGGUACUUGGAGGGCGACCUCCUGGGAGAGUAGGACGUAGCCAAAU